GACGAACGCUGGCGGCGUGCUUAACACAUGCAAGUCGAACGAAGAGCGAUGGAAGCUUGCUUCUAUCAAUCUUAGUGGCGAACGGGUGAGUAACGCGUAAUCAACCUGCCCUUCAGAGGGGGACAACAGUUGGAAACGACUGCUAAUACCGCAUACGAUCCAAUCUCGGCAUCGGGACUGGAUGAAAGGUGGCCUCUAUUUAUAAGCUAUCACUGAAGGAGGGGAUUGCGUCUGAUUAGCUAGUUGGAGGGGUAACGGCCCACCAAGGCGAUGAUCAGUAGCCGGUCUGAGAGGAUGAACGGCCACAUUGGGACUGAGACACGGCCCAGACUCCUACGGGAGGCAGCAGUGGGGAAUCUUCCGCAAUGGACGAAAGUCUGACGGAGCAACGCCGCGUGAGUGAUGACGGCCUUCGGGUUGUAAAGCUCUGUUAAUCGGGACGAAUGGUUCUUGUGCAAAUAGUGCGAGGAUUUGACGGACCGGAAUAGAAAGCCACGCA
RNAcentral lists this ribosomal RNA (499 nucleotides) under Veillonella atypica. RNAcentral's name for it is "bacterial SSU rRNA". It matches the Rfam family "Bacterial small subunit ribosomal RNA", at positions 28 to 497 of the family's 1533-position model. Lineage: Bacteria; Bacillati; Bacillota; Negativicutes; Veillonellales; Veillonellaceae. The record is from RNAcentral.